Molecule: small nuclear RNA, 171 nt
Filed under: Eptatretus burgeri (inshore hagfish)
Lineage: Eukaryota; Metazoa; Chordata; Myxini; Myxiniformes; Myxinidae
Description: U1 spliceosomal RNA (ENSEBUG00000000062.1)
Rfam family: U1 spliceosomal RNA
About the family: U1 is a small nuclear RNA (snRNA) component of the spliceosome (involved in pre-mRNA splicing). Its 5' end forms complementary base pairs with the 5' splice junction, thus defining the 5' donor site of an intron.
Source: RNAcentral
AUAUUUACCUGACUGAGGUGAAAACAUGAUGAUGUAGCAUUGUGGGUGGUGUAUUCAAUAUGACAUCUGUCCCUUGAACUAUGGCUGGGUGGAUCCUUGUGAUUUCCCCAAAUGCAAAAACUCAACCGGAAAAUUUGUGGUAGCGGGGCACCGCAUUUAUGCUUAUCUUCU